Molecule: ribosomal RNA, 289 nt
Filed under: uncultured bacterium
Lineage: Bacteria
Description: partial 16S ribosomal RNA
Rfam family: Bacterial small subunit ribosomal RNA
Source: RNAcentral
UGUUACCUACGGGGCGCAGCAGUGAGGAAUAUUGGUCAAUGGGCGGGAGCCUGAACCAGCCAAGUCGCGUGAGGGACGACGGUCCUAUGGAUUGUAAACCUCUUUUGUCGGGGAGCAAGACCCGCCUCGUGCAGGCGGAGCGAGAGUACCCGAAGAAAAAGCAUCGGCUAACUCCGUGCCAGCAGCCGCGGUAAUACGGAGGAUGCGAGCGUUAUCCGGAUUUAUUGGGUUUAAAGGGUGCGCAGGCGGACCAUCAAGUCCGCGGUAAAAUCGUGGGGCCCAACCCCAU